This 1373-nucleotide ribosomal RNA is filed under the name Candidatus Pacearchaeota archaeon. RNAcentral describes it as "bacterial SSU rRNA". It matches the Rfam family "Archaeal small subunit ribosomal RNA", at positions 722 to 1478 of the family's 1478-position model. Lineage: Archaea; Nanobdellati. The record is from RNAcentral.
AAACGGAUUAGAUACCCGUGUAGUCCUAGCAGUAAACACUGCACACUAAACAUCAGUACCUCCCCGAGAGGUAUUGGUGCUGUAGGGAAGCCGGAGAGUGUGCUACCUGGGAAGUAUAGCCGCAAGGCCGAAACUUAAAGGAAUUGGCGGGGAGAUACUACAACGGGUGACGCGUGCGGUUCAAUUAGAUUCUACACCGUGAACCUCACCAGGACCGAAUCAGGAUUCCAUGUCGCUAGAAGUAAGGUUUAUAAAUGAUUACGUCCUUAAGUAUCGUAUAGAUUAAAUUCUGUAUAAUACUAUGAGGCAUAAUAUAGAUCUUACCCAGCUAAGCAGGAGAGAACUUGGUUAUCUUAUAGGAUUUUACGUCGGAGACGGAAAUAUCUUCGUAAAAAAAGAGCUAGGAGUUUAUCGUCUUAGAUAUUUCACAUAUAUAAAAGAAAAAGAAACACAAAAGAAACUCAAAAAAGUGCUCUUAAAAAUCUUCGAUAAAACCUAUUGCUAUAAAAAACAAGACAAUACUUUUGUUCUUGAGAAGCAUUCAAAAGAUUUAAUUAAAUUCAUAAAGAAAACCUGUGAUAAAAAGGGUCUUAAAGUUAAAACUUCGAGAGAAUUUAAAAUAGGAUAUAUCGAAGGUUUAAUUGACUCUGACGGAUAUGUUCAAAGAAAUUACGUCGAGAUAACCACUUCAAAUCCUAAACUCAAAAAUCAGAUAAUCGAGAUCUUGGAAAAGUUUAAGGUUGCAUGCACUGUGAGGAAAUAUCCUCCUUCUGGUCUCUCUAAAAAAAUGGGAUUCAGAGUUGGGUUUUCCUUGCUUCACGGGCGACCUUUCUCUCCUGUGAAAUGGGCUUCUGGUGUCUAAACAGCAGAAUGAAGGUCAGUCUAAAGGGCUUACCUGACACGCUGAGAGGAGUUGCAUGGCCGACGUCAGCCUGUGCCGUGAGGUGACCUGUUAAAUCAGGUAACAGGCAAGACCCACAUCUCUAUUUACCACGUGUACAAUAGAGAGAUCGCCUUGGUAACAAGGAUGAAAGUGUGGGCUACGUUAGGUGGGUACAGCCCGACAGCCCUGGGCAACACGCGCGCGUCAAUGGUGGAUACAAUGAGAUGCAACUCUGAAAAGAGAAGCUAAUCUCCUAAAGUCCAUCUCAGUUCAGAUUGAGGCUUGUAACUCAGCCUCAUGACGCUGGAAUCCGUAGUAAUCGUUUGUUAUCAGCGAACGGUGAAUAUGUCAAUGUCUCUUGCACACACUGCCCGUCAAACCAACCGAGUUAUGUUAUGGUGAAACUCUUCUGAGGAGAACCUUAGCAUGACAAGGCAGGUUAAGUCGUCACAAGGUAACUGUAGGGGAACCUGCAGUUGGAUCACCUCCU